CAGUAGCCGCGGUAAUGCGAAGGGUGCAAGCGUUAAUCGGAAUUACUGGGCGUAAAGCGUGCGUAGGCGGUGAGUUAAGUCUGCUGUGAAAUCCCCGGGCUCAACCUGGGAAUGGUAGUGGAUACUGGCUCGCUAGAGUGUGUCAGAGGAUGGUGGAAUUCCCGGUGUAGCGGUGAAAUGCGUAGAGAUCAGGAGGAACAUCAGUGGCGAAGGCGGCCAUCUGGGACAACACUGACGCUGAGGCACGAAAGCGUGGGGAGCAAACAGGAUUAGAUACCCGUGUAGUCCCUGUCUCUUAUAC
Molecule: ribosomal RNA, 301 nt
Filed under: uncultured bacterium
Lineage: Bacteria
Description: partial 16S ribosomal RNA
Rfam family: Bacterial small subunit ribosomal RNA
Source: RNAcentral